This 220-nucleotide long non-coding RNA is filed under the name Daucus carota (carrot). Its description in RNAcentral is "long non-coding RNA (DCAR_LNC002615)". The record is from RNAcentral. Lineage: Eukaryota; Viridiplantae; Streptophyta; Magnoliopsida; Apiales; Apiaceae.
UUCAAUAUUCAGGCCCAACACCAAGGUCCCGACGAAGGCUGUCGUUAUCUUCCCAGGCCUCAUGAACGGCCUCCUCUAGUUCUUCCACGCGGACCUCCAAGUCUAUGAUUCGCUCCCUCUGUUGACGAAUCUUCUCCUUCCGCUUCGCCAAUUUCUCUACCAAAUCUUUGCAUAACAGCUCUUUCACGAUCUUCAAGACACCGCCUGGAGUUUCGACCAU